RNAcentral lists this unclassified non-coding RNA (90 nucleotides) under Pseudomonas arsenicoxydans. The record is from RNAcentral. Lineage: Bacteria; Pseudomonadati; Pseudomonadota; Gammaproteobacteria; Pseudomonadales; Pseudomonadaceae.
UGUAGGAGUGAGCCUGCUCGCGAUGACGGAGUGUCAUUCAACAUAGAUGUUGAAUGUUAGACCGCUAUCGCGAGCAGGCUCACUCCCACA